Molecule: ribosomal RNA, 3187 nt
Filed under: Pinus taeda (loblolly pine)
Lineage: Eukaryota; Viridiplantae; Streptophyta; Pinopsida; Pinales; Pinaceae
Description: eukaryotic LSU rRNA
Rfam family: Eukaryotic large subunit ribosomal RNA
Source: RNAcentral
ACCUCAGCUCAGGCAAGAACACCCACUGAGUUUAAGCAUAUAAUUAAGCGGAGGAAAAUAAACUUACAAGGAUUCCCCUAGUAGCAGCGAGUGAACCAGGAAGAGCCCAGCAUGAAAAUACGGUGGCAGCUUCGUCUGAAUUGUAGUCAGUAGAAGCGUCCUCAGCGGCGGACCUGGGCCAAGUCCCUUGGAAGGGGGCGCCUGAGAGGGUGACAGCCCCGUCGGCCCGGGACCCUGCCGCAUCACGAGGCGUUGUUGGUGAGUCGGGUUGUUUGGGAAUGCAGCCCUAAUUGGGUGGUAAAUUCCAUCCAAGGCUAAAUACGGGCGAGAGACCGAUAGCGAAAAAGUACCGUGAGGGAAAGAUGAAAAGGAAUUUGAAAGGAGAGUUAAAGAGUGCUUGAAAUUGCUAGGACGGAAGUGGAUGGAGGCUGUCGAUACGUCUCGGUCAGAUGUGGAACGGCUCAGGCUAGUCCACCGCUCGACUUGAGGUGCAAACCAACACGGGCUGCUGCAUCAUCACAAGAGCGUGUGAAUUGCCACCUGUCAAUUUGCCGCUGCGAUGGUCGAGGAACGAAGCGUGCGCCCUUAUGGCAGGCUGUGUGGACCUGCGCGCUUGUUGUGUUGGUUGGCGGGCUUUCCAUUUGAAUCAUCUUGAAACACGGACCAAGGAGUCUAACAUGUGUGCAAGUCGGCGGGUUUGAAAACCUGCGAGGCAUAAGGAAGCGGAUGGGCGAGAUCCCCUCUCUUGGGGGGAUGCAUCGUCGACCAACCUUGAGCAUAUGUGAAGGGUUCGAGUGCGAGCACACCUAUUGGGACCUGAAAGAUGGUGAACUAUGCCUGAGCAGGGCGAAGCCAGAGGAAACUCUGGUGGAGGCUCGUAGUGAUACUGACGUGUAAAUUGUUCAUUUGACAUGGGUAUAGGGGCGAAAGACUAAUCGAACCAUCUAGUAGCUAGUUUCCUCCAAAGUUUCCCUCAGGAUAGCUGGAGCUCAUGCGCGAGUUUUAUCGGGUAAAGCAAAUGAUUAGAGGCAUCGGGGGCGUAAUGCCCUCGACCUAUUCUCAAACUUUAAAUAGGUAAGAAGGUGUGGCUGCUCCAUUGAGCCGCGCUGUGGAAUCGAGAGCUCCAAGUGGGCCAUUUUUGGUAAGAAGAACUAGCGAUGUGGGAUGAACCGAAAGUCGAGUUACGGUGUCGAAUUGCACACUAACCUAGAUCUCACAAAGGGUGUUGGUUGAUUAAGACAGUAGGACGGUGGUCAUGGAAGUCAAAAACAGCUGAGUGUGUAACAACUCACCUGCCGAAUCAACUGGCCCCGAAAAUGGAUGGUGCUGAAGCGCACAACCUAUACUCGACCGUCGGAGCAAUUGCAUGGCUCCGAUGAGUAGGAGGACACGGGGGUCAUUGAGAAACCUUGGGCGUGAGCUUGGGUGGAUCGGCCCCCAGUGUAGAUCUUGGUGGUAGUAGCAAAUAUUCAAAUGAGAGCUUUAAAGACUAAAGUGGGGAAAGGUUCCAUGUGAACAGCACUUGGACAUGGGUUAGUCGAUCCUAAGAGAUGGGGAAGCCUUGUAUCAAGGGUGCACUCUGCAUGAGCAUCGAAAGGGAAUCGAGUUAAUAUUCCCAAACCAGGACAUGGCGGUAGGCGACAACGUUAGGAAAUCCGGAGACGUCGUCGGGGGCCCCAGGAAGAGUUAUAUUUUCUUUUUAAUAGCUUGCCCACCUUGGAAUCGGUUCACCCGGAGAUAGGGUCCAGUAGCUGGAAGAGCACCACAUGUCUUGCCAUGUCUGGUGCGCCCUCAGCGGCCCUUGAAAAUCUGGAGGACUGAGUACCGUUCAUGCUUGGUCAUACUCAUAACCGCAUCAGGUCUCCAAGGUGAAGAACCUUUGGUCAAUAGAACAAUGUAGGUAAGGUAAGUCAGUAAAACAGAACCGUAACUUUGGGAAAAGGAUUGGCUCUGAGGGCUGGGCCUAGGGGUCUACGCCUUCAACUCGUGGGCUGUUGGCAACCUACCGGAGCUGCUUGCGCGGUGAGGGUGGGUAGUCGCAUGCCGAUUGGGCUACGGGUAUAGAAUGCCCCCUACUGGGGGCUUUUCCCUAGGCGUCAAACAGUCGACUCAGAACUGGUACGGACAAAGGGGAAUCUGACUGUUUAAUUAAAACAAAGCAUUGUGAUGGUCCCUGUGGAUGCUGAUGCAAUGUGAUUUCUGCCUAGUGCUCUGAAUGUCAAAGUGAAUAAAUUCAACCCAGCACGGGCAAACAGCAGGAGUAACUAUGACUCUCUUAAGCUAGCCAAAUGCCUUGUCAUCUAAUUAGUGAUGUGCAUGAAUGUAUUAACGAGAUUCCCACUGUCCCUAUCUACUAUCUAGUGAAACCACGGCCAAGGGAACGGGCUUGGUAGAAUCAGCGGGGAAAGAAGACCCUGUUGAGCUUGACUAUAGUCCGACUUUGUGAAAUGACUUGAGAGGUGUAGAAUAAGUGGGAGCCAUUUUCGGCGCAAGUGAAAUACCACUACUUUUAAUGUAGGUACAUCUGUUAAAAGAUAACACACAUAUGUUAAAAGAUAACACAGGUGUCCUAAGAUGAGCUCAAUGAGAAUAGAAAUCUCGUGUGGAAAAAAAGGGUAAAAUCUCAUUUGAUUUUUAUUUUCAGUACGAAUAUAAACCGUGAAAGCGUGGCCUAUCGAUCUUUUAGAUUUUUAGAAUUUUAAGCUAUAGGUGUCAGAAAAGUUACCACAGGGAUAACUGGCCUGUGGCAGCCAAGCGUUCAUAGCGACGUUUCUUUUUGAUCCUUAGAUGUCGGCUCUUCCUAUCAUUAUGAAGCAGAAUUCACCAAGUGUUAGAUUGUUCACCCACCAAUAGGGAACGUGAGCUGGGUUUAGACCAUCGUGAGACAGGUUAGUUUUACCCUACUAAUGAACCGCACUGCAAUAUUAAUUAAACUUAGUACGAGAGGAACCAUUGAUUCACACAGUUGGUCAUCACUGUUGUGUAGGUAAAUCCCCUCUGCAUACAAAGGUGAUCCCACUAGCCUAACUGAGGUCUAGUAACAAUCAAACAACGCUAACACGCAGGUUCCUAAUUGCAAAAUAAAGGCCAAGAUGAGAGCCUACCCCGAAUCCAAUGCUUAUAUUCGUAGAAGGGUCUUCGCUUCCAUUCUUUCGCUUCAGUUGCUCACAAUCCUCACAAUCUUCGU